This 431-nucleotide ribosomal RNA is filed under the name uncultured bacterium. RNAcentral describes it as "bacterial SSU rRNA". It matches the Rfam family "Bacterial small subunit ribosomal RNA", at positions 29 to 507 of the family's 1533-position model. The record is from RNAcentral.
AGCGAACGCUGGCGGCAGGCCUAACACAUGCAAGUCGAGCGCCCAGCAAUGGGAGCGGCAGACGGGUGAGUAACACGUGGGGAUCUACCUAUCGGUACGGAAUAACCCAGGGAAACUUGGAUUAAUACCGUAUACGCCCUUUUGGGGAAAGAUUUAUCGCCGAUAGAUGAACCCGCGUCGGAUUAGCUAGUUGGUGGGGUAAAGGCCCACCAAGGCGACGAUCCGUAGCUGGUCUGAGAGGAUGAUCAGCCACACUGGGACUGAGACACGGCCCAGACUCCUACGGGAGGCAGCAGUGGGGAAUAUUGGACAAUGGGGGCAACCCUGAUCCAGCCAUGCCGCGUGAGUGAUGAAGGCCUUAGGGUUGUAAAGCUCUUUCGCCGGUGAAGAUAAUGACGGUAACCGGAGAAGAAGCCCCGGCUAACUUCGUG